This 856-nucleotide long non-coding RNA is filed under the name Selaginella moellendorffii. RNAcentral's name for it is "long non-coding RNA (SMOE_LNC001557)". Lineage: Eukaryota; Viridiplantae; Streptophyta; Lycopodiopsida; Selaginellales; Selaginellaceae. The record is from RNAcentral.
AACUCCAGGAGGAUAUGUCGAAACUGGAACGCGAGUUCUCUGAAAUCGUCCAGCCGCCACCUGAAUACUCGAAAAGAGUGGAGGGUAUUGCCGAAUCAGCAUUUGCGCAGGAGUACCAAAGAGUUGGGGGAUUAGACAACGUGGAGUCAUUGCGUGAGAAGCUGGAAGAAACAGGAGAGAAGUGGAAGACGAAGAAAGCCCUGAUAGCACCUGUUGUCACGUUAGUUCAGUCGAGUGGCUGGGGAAAGUCGAGGACUACCUGCGAGCUUGCGAAUUUAGGUGUGUUCGUCAUCUACUGCUCAUUCGCUUCAUCUGGCACCGCGUACCCUCCAAGGUCUGCCUUUGCGGACUUCUUCUACACAAACGCCGUCAAAUUGCUCAGCUCGGGUUCUACGCUUUUGUCGCAGAGCAGGUUCAUGCUCUUCUGCAUUGACUACUUUGUGUCAUGCAUCGAGGCUCUUCUGCAUCUGACUUCCGGGGAGGACCCCAUGGAUGCCAAGAAGUUCUUGAACGAUCUCAUGGUUGGGAAGAACUUUUGGGACGUGGUACAGGCGAAGAUGGAGAUAGGAAAUGCAGCCCGGGAGGAGUUUGCUAAUCGCCUUGACGUCGACAUGAAAGAGAAGCCUGGCGAGAAAACCAAUAUCUGGGGCAUCUGGGAAAGUAAGGCGUUUAAGAAGUACAACACGCUUGAAGGUCUACUGUCGAAUGUUCCAGCUCCUGCCAAAGGAAAACUGAAGGUCCUGUUUGUCAUGGAGGAAGCCCGAUGGUUUACUUUGCAUGCUGAUCCGACAACUCUUGCUGCAUUUGUUCCUGCAAGGAGGGCUUCCAGGGUGUUGCCUGAAGAUGGAAGUGUGUC